This 63-nucleotide ribosomal RNA is filed under the name uncultured delta proteobacterium HF0010_08B07. The record is from RNAcentral. Lineage: Bacteria; Deltaproteobacteria.
GCGAAGAGGUCACACCCGAUCCCAUCCCGAACUCGGUCGUUAAGCUCUUCAGCGCCGAUGGUA